Molecule: ribosomal RNA, 468 nt
Filed under: uncultured bacterium
Lineage: Bacteria
Description: partial 16S ribosomal RNA
Rfam family: Bacterial small subunit ribosomal RNA
Source: RNAcentral
GACGAACGCUGGCGGCGUGCUUAACACAUGCAAGUCGAACGGAAAGGCCCUGCUUUUGUGGGGUGCUCGAGUGGCGAACGGGUGAGUAACACGUGAGUAACCUGCCCUUGACUUUGGGAUAACUUCAGGAAACUGGGGCUAAUACCGGAUAGGAGCUCCUGCUGCAUGGUGGGGGUUGGAAAGUUUCGGCGGUUGGGGAUGGACUCGCGGCUUAUCAGCUUGUUGGUGGGGUAGUGGCUUACCAAGGCUUUGACGGGUAGCCGGCCUGAGAGGGUGACCGGCCACAUUGGGACUGAGGGACGGCGCAGACUCCUACGGGAGGCAGCAGUGGGGAAUAUUGCACAAUGGGCGGGAGCCUGAUGCAGCAACGCCGCGUGCGUGAUGACGGCCUUCGGGUUGUAAACCGCUUUCGCCUGUGACGAAGCGUGAGUGACGGUAAUGGGUAAAGAAGCACCGGCUAACUACGUG